This 301-nucleotide ribosomal RNA is filed under the name uncultured bacterium. RNAcentral describes it as "partial 16S ribosomal RNA". It matches the Rfam family "Bacterial small subunit ribosomal RNA", at positions 509 to 807 of the family's 1533-position model. The record is from RNAcentral.
CAGUAGCCGCGGUAAUACGUAGGGUGCGAGCGUUAAUCGGAAUUACUGGGCGUAAAGCGUGCGCAGGCGGUUUUGUAAGACAGGCGUGAAAACCCCGGGCUCAACCUGGGAAUGGCGCUUGUGACUGCAAAGCUAGAGUGCGGCAGAGGGGGAUGGAAUUCCGCGUGUAGCAGUGAAAUGCGUAGAUAUGCGGAGGAACACCGAUGGCGAAGGCAAUCCCCUGGGCCUGCACUGACGCUCAUGCACGAAAGCGUGGGGAGCAAACAGGAUUAGAUACCCCAGUAGUCCCUGUCUCUUAUAC